UACAGAGGUCCCAAGCGUUGUUCGGAUUCACUGGGCGUAAAGGGUGCGUAGGUGGUCGGGUAAGUCUGAUGUGAAAUCUUCGAGCUCAACUCGAAAAUGGCAUUGGAUACUAUUCGGCUGGAGGGUUGGAAGGGGGACUGGAAUUCUCGGUGUAGCAGUGAAAUGCGUAGAUAUCGAGAGGAACACCGGUGGCGAAGGCGAGUCCCUGGACAAUUCCUGACACUGAGGCACGAAAGCUAGGGGAGCAAACAGG
This 253-nucleotide ribosomal RNA is filed under the name uncultured bacterium. RNAcentral describes it as "partial 16S ribosomal RNA". It matches the Rfam family "Bacterial small subunit ribosomal RNA", at positions 524 to 776 of the family's 1533-position model. The record is from RNAcentral.